This 427-nucleotide ribosomal RNA is filed under the name uncultured bacterium. RNAcentral describes it as "partial 16S ribosomal RNA". It matches the Rfam family "Bacterial small subunit ribosomal RNA", at positions 355 to 774 of the family's 1533-position model. The record is from RNAcentral.
UGGGGAAUAUUGCACAAUGGGCGCAAGCCUGAUGCAGCCAUGCCGCGUGUAUGAAGAAGGCCUUCGGGUUGUAAAGUACUUUCAGCGAGGAGGACGGCGUUGUGGUUAAUAACCGCAGCGAUUGACGUUACUCGCAGAAGAAGCACCGGCUAACUCCGUGCCAGCAGCCGCGGUAAUACGGAGGGUGCAAGCGUUAAUCGGAAUUACGGGGCGUAAAGCGCACGCAGGCGGUCUGUCAAGUCGGAUGUGAAAUCCCCGGGCUCAACCUGGGAACUGCAUCCGAAACUGGCAGGCUAGAGUCUUGUAGAGGGGGGUAGAAUUCCAGGUGUAGCGGUGAAAUGCGUAGAGAUCUGGAGGAAUACCGGUGGCGAAGGCGGCCCCCUGGACAAAGACUGACGCUCAGGUGCGAAAGCGUGGGGAGCAAACA